AGAGUUUGAUUCUGGCUCAGAACGAACGCUGGCAGCGUGGAUUAGGCAUGCAAGUCGAACGAGAAGCCCUGGUCUCAAUCUUCGGAGAGAAACCAGGGUGGACAGUGGCGGAAGGGUGAGUACGCGUGGGCAAUUUGCCUCCGGAUUGGGGACAACUCCGCGAAAGCGGGGCUAAUACCGAAUAUGGUCUCCUGUCGCAUGACGGGAAGAUUAAAGAUGGGGAUUCUUCGGAACCUGUCGUCUGGAGAGGAGCCCGCGUACGAUCAGCUUGUUGGUGAGGUAACGGCUCACCAAGGCUUUGACCGUUAGCCGGCCUGAGAGGGUGAUCGGCCACACUGGGACUGAGACACUGCCCAGACUCCUACGGGAGGCUGCAGUCGAGGAUCAUUCGCAAUGCGCGAAAGCGUGACGAUGCGACGCUGCGUGUAGGAUGACGGCCUUCGGGUUGUAAACUACUGUCAUGAGGGAAAAACCAGCGAUGGGACAAUACCCCAUCGCUCUGAUGGUACCUCAAGAGGAAGCCACGGCUAACUCUGUGCCAGCAGCCGCGGUAAUACAGAGGUGGCUAGCGUUGUUCGGAUUUACUGGGCGUAAAGCGUGCGUAGGCGGUUCCGUGUGUCGGGUGUGAAAUCCCACGGCUUACCCGUGGAAUGGCACCCGAAACUGCGGGGCUAGAGUGCAGGAGGGGAGAGCGGAAUUCUUAGUGUAGCGGUGAAAUGCGUUGAUAUUAAGAAGAACACCGGCGGCGAAGGCGGCUCUCUGGAAUGUAACUGACGCUGAGGCACGAAAGUUGGGGGAGCAAACAGGAUUAGAUACCCUGGUAGUCCCAACCGUAAACGGUGUGAACUUGGUGUAGGGGGUAUUGACCCCCCCUGUGCCGGAGCUAACGCGUUAAGUUCACCGCCUGGGGAGUACGGCCGCAAGGCUAAAACUCAAAGAAAUUGACGGGGGCCCGCACAAGCGGAGGAGCAUGUGGCUUAAUUCGAUGCAACGCGAAGAACCUUACCUGGGCUUGACAUGGGGACCCUUCGGGGGUGGUAGCGAAAGUUACCUUUACCAUCACAGGUGCUGCAUGGCUGUCGUCAGUUCGUGCCGUGAGGUGUUUGGUUAAGUCCAGCAACGAACGCAACCCUUGUGACUAGUUACCAGCGUCGGUGAUGAGCCGGCAGGCACUCUAGUCAGACUGCCCGUACAAGCGGGAGGAAGGUGGGGAUGACGUCAAGUCAGUAUGGCCCUUACGCCCAGGGCUGCACACGUGCUACAAUGGUCAGUACAGAAGGAUGCAAAACCGCAAGGUCGAGCAAAUCCCCAAAGCUGGCCCCAGUUCGGAUUGGAGUCUGCAACUCGACUCCAUGAAGUCGGAUUCGCUAGUAACGGCGUAUCAGCUACGACGCCGUGAAUACGUUCCCGGGCCUUGUACACACCGCCCGUCACAUCAUGAAAGCCGUCUGCACCCGAAGUCGCUGAGCCAACCCGCAAGGGAGGCAAGUGCCGAAGGUGUGGGUGGUGAUUGGGAUGAU
RNAcentral lists this ribosomal RNA (1520 nucleotides) under metagenome. Its description in RNAcentral is "bacterial SSU rRNA". It matches the Rfam family "Bacterial small subunit ribosomal RNA". The record is from RNAcentral.